UUAGGAAUUUUGCGCAAUGGGCGAAAGCCUGACGCAGCAACGCCGCGUGAGGGAUGAAGGCCUUCGGGUUGUAAACCUCUUUUAGCUGGGAAGAAAAAAAUGACGGUACCAGCAGAAAAAGCACCGGCUAACUCUGUGCCAGCAGCCGCGGUAAUACAGAGGGUGCAAGCGUUAUUCGGAUUUAUUGGGCGUAAAGCGCGUGUAGGUUGUUCGUUAAGUCUGAUGUGAAAGCCCUGGACUCAAUUCAGGAAGUGCAUUGGAUACUGGCGGACUAGAGUGCAGGAGAGGAAGGCGGAAUUCCAGGAGUAGAGGUGAAAUUCGUAGAUAUCUGGAGGAACAACAGUGGCGAAGGCGGCCUUCUGGACUGUAACUGACACUAAGACGCGAAAGCGUGGGGAGCAAACAGG
RNAcentral lists this ribosomal RNA (407 nucleotides) under uncultured bacterium. RNAcentral's name for it is "bacterial SSU rRNA". It matches the Rfam family "Bacterial small subunit ribosomal RNA", at positions 355 to 776 of the family's 1533-position model. The record is from RNAcentral.